Small nucleolar RNA from Cynara cardunculus var. scolymus (artichoke), 120 nucleotides. RefSeq annotates it as small nucleolar RNA snoR104. The transcript has a single exon. NCBI's taxonomy places the organism in Eukaryota, Viridiplantae, Streptophyta, Magnoliopsida, Asterales, Asteraceae. The record is from RefSeq and is a predicted model, not a curated record.
GGGGAGCAUUUAAAGUUGAAAUGUUGCCUGAUAUACCCUUCCUACAAGAAGAUAAUCUCUACUUUCCUGCUUGUUGUAUGCUAGUCAUGUUCACAAGCCUCUUGGAUAUGAGAUACAUAU